GCCGAAAAUUAGCAUAAUAAAUACAAUAAUAAAUUUUAAACAUUACAAAAAAAAAUUAAGCAAAGUACUAAAUAAUUAGUUAAGAUUAACAUCUAUUUUAGCAGUAGCAAAAUAGUUGAUUUGUAAUGAAUGAAAAUAUAUAAUAUGCAUCAUUUUGUCAUACAAUGUACAAUUACUGGACAUCACAUUGUUGUACUAGUAUUAUUCUCAUACGAUUAUAUUAUAACAAUAAUUAAGAGUCUCCCAUAUAUAAAAGAACAUUUUACAAGGCUGGAAGAUCAACACGAACAUUACAAUAUACGCCAUUUUCAUUUUGUUGUUAUUUUAUUACAUAUUUGGUUUUUUUUUUAUUUAAGUGAUAAAGAUUAUAAUACAAUGGUGAGUAUUGUACCCCUUUUUACCUUUCUAUUAUUACGUCUAUUUGUUUUGUUCAUAUAUUGUUGUAAAUGAAAUGUAACUUUAUUCGACUUUCCUAUAAGUUAGAGGUUAAAAAAUCAGGUUUAAUGCAUCAGUUUUACAUACGGAAACUCCCGUGUUGUUUUCCAUUGGUGUGGUGUGUUUGAGCUUUUGAUACGUCCAUUUGAUAAGGGACUUUCCGAUUUGGAUUUUCCUCGGAGUUUGGUAUUUUUGAUACUGUAGUUUUACCAAUAUGAAAAAUAAGACUACGAUCUCACCUUAAUGUUUCAAAACUACACUGAGUUCAAUCAGGAGAAAGUCAGUUAAUCUAAAUAAAACUAAAUAAAAAUUGAUUAUCGUAUAGGUAAUACAUAUAAAUAAAUAUAUAUCUAGGAAUUAAGAACUUUGUUGAUAAAAUAUUUUCAAAAAUGGUCAUAUCAGUUAUAUUUGAACUUGGGAGAAGUCGAAAAGACAAUAAAAACUUGGCAAAUCAAAUAUCUCUCCAAUUAGAAAAGAACUGUUACAAUUUAAAGACAUAUGAUAUCAAAAUUGUUUUUUUCCCUCUAAAUCCUUUGUUUGAUUACAAAAGGUAAAACCU
This 994-nucleotide long non-coding RNA is filed under the name Mytilus galloprovincialis (Mediterranean mussel). Lineage: Eukaryota; Metazoa; Mollusca; Bivalvia; Mytilida; Mytilidae. The record is from RNAcentral.